UGGGGAAUAUUGCACAAUGGGCGCAAGCCUGAUGCAGCAACGCCGCGUGAGGGAUGACGGCCUUCGGGUUGUAAACCUCUUUUAGCAGGGAAGAAGCGAAAGUGACGGUACCUGCAGAAAAAGCGCCGGCUAACUACGUGCCAGCAGCCGCGGUAAUACGUAGGGCGCAAGCGUUAUCCGGAAUUAUUGGGCGUAAAGAGCUCGUAGGCGGUUUGUCGCGUCUGCUGUGAAAUCCCGAGGCUCAACCUCGGGUCUGCAGUGGGUACGGGCAGACUAGAGUGCGGUAGGGGAGAUUGGAAUUCCUGGUGUAGCGGUGGAAUGCGCAGAUAUCAGGAGGAACACCGAUGGCGAAGGCAGAUCUCUGGGCCGUAACUGACGCUGAGGAGCGAAGGGGUGGGGAGCAAACAGGCUUAGAUGACCCUGGUNGUCCACCCCGUAAACGUUGGGAACUAGUUGU
This 457-nucleotide ribosomal RNA is filed under the name uncultured bacterium. RNAcentral's name for it is "partial 16S ribosomal RNA". It matches the Rfam family "Bacterial small subunit ribosomal RNA", at positions 355 to 823 of the family's 1533-position model. The record is from RNAcentral.